This 561-nucleotide ribosomal RNA is filed under the name uncultured bacterium. RNAcentral describes it as "bacterial SSU rRNA". It matches the Rfam family "Bacterial small subunit ribosomal RNA", at positions 338 to 916 of the family's 1533-position model. The record is from RNAcentral.
CCUACGGGAGGCAGCAGUGGGGAAUCUUGCGCAAUGGGCGAAAGCCUGACGCAGCCAUGCCGCGUGAAUGAUGAAGGUCUUAGGAUUGUAAAAUUCUUUCACCGGGGACGAUAAUGACGGUACCCGGAGAAGAAGCCCCGGCUAACUUCGUGCCAGCAGCCGCGGUAAUACGAAGGGGGCUAGCGUUGCUCGGAAUUACUGGGCGUAAAGGGAGCGUAGGCGGAUAGUUUAGUCAGAGGUGAAAGCCCAGGGCUCAACCUUGGAAUUGCCUUUGAUACUGGCUAUCUUGAGUGUGGGAGAGGUUAGCGGAACUCCGAGUGUAGAGGUGAAAUUCGUAGAUAUUCGGAAGAACACCAGUGGCGAAGGCGGCUAACUGGCCCAUUACUGACGCUGAGGCUCGAAAGCGUGGGGAGCAAACAGGAUUAGAUACCCUGGUAGUCCACGCCGUAAACGAUGAGUGCUAGUUGUCGGCAUGCAUGCAUGUCGGUGACGCAGCUAACGCAUUAAGCACUCCGCCUGGGGAGUACGGUCGCAAGAUUAAAACUCAAAAUGAAUUGACGG